UACGGAGGGUGCAAGCGUUAUCCGGAAUUACUGGGUUUAAAGGGUGCGUAGGCGGCUUAGUAAGUCAGGGGUGAAAGGCCACGGCUCAACCGUGGAAUGGCCUUUGAUACUGCUGAGCUUGAAUCAGGAUGAGGUUGGCAGAAUGUGGCAUGUAGCGGUGAAAUGCAUAGAUAUGCCAUAGAACACCGAUUGCGAAGGCAGCUGGCUAGACCUUGAUUGACGCUGAGGCACGAAAGCGUGGGGAGCGAACAGG
RNAcentral lists this ribosomal RNA (253 nucleotides) under uncultured bacterium. RNAcentral's name for it is "partial 16S ribosomal RNA". It matches the Rfam family "Bacterial small subunit ribosomal RNA", at positions 524 to 776 of the family's 1533-position model. The record is from RNAcentral.